Molecule: non-coding RNA, 72 nt
Organism: Aedes albopictus (Asian tiger mosquito)
Lineage: Eukaryota; Metazoa; Arthropoda; Insecta; Diptera; Culicidae
Source: Rfam
GGCUCGGUAGCUUAGUUGGAAAAGCACUUGUCUAGCGAAUAAGGGUCGUGAGUUCAAAGCUCACCUGAGCUG